UCUAAAAUUCUGUUAGAAACAUAACGAACCACUUAGAUAUAUAAUGUGCAAAACUGAGAGAUGUUGUGUUUUUACAGUGGCUAUGAUGUGUGAUUGAAUUUUAUUAUCCCAUAUUUUAUUUCAGAUGCUGCAGCAAAGAAAAUGCUCUCAGCCUUGGACGAUCCAUUCACUCGAUUCUUGAAACCAUUACCUUUUAUGAAGCAAGAAUAGCUAGCACCCAAGGUGCCCUCGCGGGUGUAGGUUUAUCCUUUGGCUACCUGUUGGUGCAUCACUUGCAGGGCUAUCUGUAAUGUCACUUUUUGUAGAAAUGACUCUCUAGAGACGCAAUAUAAGAGCGCAAAACAUUUGACAGCAGAUCGCUUAUGACCUCCUGUGGAUAAUCAGACAUGGGGUGCAUGGCAAAAUUAGGACAGACCGAAGGCAGCAGAUUCCGCAUUGGCCGUGCACUUUGAGGAGGACAUUGUCUUUGUAUAAGUGCCCCUACAAUCAUCCCUUUAUAGCCACAGAUAAGGCCUUCAGAUGGAUAUGGCCGCAUAAAUCACACCGAUGGAUCCAGUUCUUCGCCAGGUCCAACGUGCCCGCACCGGCCUCAAGCAUGGGAGACACUAUUACCUUGUGAUCUAACCGGUUACCACAAUCAAAUCCAUUUUUGCCCAUUUAAAUUAGUUAGCUCAGUUUUGUUGAUAACUGAGUUUCAUUGGUAAUAUAUACUGAAGUGUCUUUGUCAUUCUGUUUUACAAGACUUUCAUCACAAGUGCUAAAAUUAUGAAAACUUCUAGCUCACAAAGGUGUGCUUAAAAAGAUUUAACUCAACUUAGUAUGUUCUAUAAUCAUUUUUGUAUGCAACACUAACUUUAGAAUGCUUAGAGAUCUGCAAUGAGAUAUUUCAGAUGAGAUCAGAGCAGUAUAUUGUGCACACCAUUCGGAGAUGGGAUUUGUCUCAAAACAGUUGCCGCAAAGUGCAAGGUUCAGUAGACUACUUGUACUUCCCUUAAAAAAAGUACAAUACUUGUACAUUCAUCAGUACAGUACUACAGUACUUUCCAAGUAAUUACCAUUGUUUACAAAGAGGAGCACUCCAAAAUCGAUGUUUGAGAUUGUAUAUAUGCUUAAAAAGAUUGAUAACCAUGAAACUUUACUGAUCAGAAAAUGUCCUGGAUGAAUGGCAAUAUAUUCUAAUUGUCAGGAUGUUUGCUACAUUUUUGGUGUGUAUAUUUUAGGGACAUUGCUGCAGUGCUAAUGCCUUCCGUGCAGGUUAUUCAGUCAGCGCAUAUUCUGUCUUUUGGCAUGUGUAUGCUUGCUCUUGUGCCGAUGUAAUCACGACCUAUAAUCAGUCCAUGAUCCUUGUGUGACGUGAUCGCAGAAGUUGGGCAUACCUGCAUUGUUACUGAGAAGAUGCGAAUAUUAACUUAGGGUUCGGAGCUGAAGCUCUGGCCGAUAGCAAAGAUAUGAAGUCUGAGCUCUGUCUAUAUUUGCAAGUAUAUUGAUGUGACUUCACAUCUUGCCCCCGUAUUGGGCAGAUGCUUCAGAAUGGAGCCACUUCUAUGUGUACUGCCACUGUAACCACACAACAUGAAUUUUCCUGUUUUUGUGAUCUGAAAUUCUAGCAAGAAACUUGUUGGGUUAACUACGAUUUUGUACUAUUUACUACUAGCAUUUAUUCUUAUCUCUCAACA
Triticum dicoccoides is the source of this 1676-nucleotide long non-coding RNA. RefSeq lists it as uncharacterized. The record is from RefSeq and is a predicted model, not a curated record. NCBI's taxonomy places the organism in Eukaryota, Viridiplantae, Streptophyta, Magnoliopsida, Poales, Poaceae. The transcript is spliced from 3 exons.